AUCACUAUGACAACAACAAUACUACUUUAACAGAUAAUAAUCACUAUGACAACAAUACUACUAUAACAGAUAAUAAUCACUAUGACAACAACGAUACUACUGUAACAGAUAAUAAUCACUAUGACAAUAACAAUACUACUAUGACCUUCUGUUAAUAAUCACUAUGACAACAACAAUACUACUGUAACAGUUAAUAAUCACUAUGACAACAACAAUACUACUGUAACAGUUAAUAAUCACUAUGACAACAACAAUACUACUGUAACAGACUAACCAUAAUCAUGUCAUCAAGUAUCAAGGGUAUAGGUGAGAGACAUUCUUUACAUAUGUGUGUGUGUGUGUGUGUGUGUGUGUGUGUGUGUGUGUGUGUGUGUGUGUGUGUGUGUGUGUGUGUGUGUGUGUGUGUGUGUGUGUGUGUGUGUGUGUGUGUUUGUUUUGGCAGCUGGUGUUGAUCUGGUAGCUGUUGAAAAUUGAGUAGAACCCAUCAGAUGUCCUGAUUAAUUGAGAGGUGCGGAGAGACGACGGACAGACAGACGCUCCCUUAACGGGAUUCCACAGCUUCAUCAAUAGGUUUGAUUGGAAAGUGAAGAGUACUUGGGCUGAUUUAUAGCUCAUACGGAGGCUAGUUUGCUAGCGGUGAUAAUCAAAGUGAUCAGGGCAUUCAGAAAGUGAUCAACUAGGUAGAGUUGGGUGGAAGACAGUUGAUAUGUUGCUGUUAUAUUUUUUAUGUCAAAAUGAUACAUUUGUAUAUUUCUAUGGUGUUUUAUUUAAUAUGCUGUAGUUAUAUUACUUAUAUUGAGAAGUUUUGAUAUGUUGUCUAGUUGUAUUACAAAUAUUGAGGAAGAGAGAGACAGGGAGAGAGAAAGGAGAGAGAGUAAGGAAGAGAGAGACAGGGAGAGAGAAAGGAGAGAGAGGAGAGAGAAAGGAGAGAGAGUAAGGAAGAGAGAGACAGGGAGAGAGAAAGGAGAGAGAGUAAGGAAGAGAGAGACAGGGAGAGAGAAAGGAGAGAGAGUAAGGAAGAGAGAGAGGAAGA
Long non-coding RNA from Oncorhynchus tshawytscha (Chinook salmon), 1033 nucleotides. Lineage: Eukaryota; Metazoa; Chordata; Actinopteri; Salmoniformes; Salmonidae. The record is from Ensembl.